AGCGUUGCACAGUGGCAGUGUCACAGUCAAUGAGGUUUAUCCAAGGUGCAAUUAUUGCUAAUUGGAAACUUUCCAAUACCCCACCAUGACAACUUGAAAUGUAGUCAGCACUGGCAAUUUUUGACAGUCUCUACAGAGA
This is a small nuclear RNA of Cercocebus atys (sooty mangabey), 139 nucleotides long. Its record names the gene U4. It matches the Rfam family "U4 spliceosomal RNA". From Rfam's summary of the family: U4 small nuclear RNA (U4 snRNA) is a component of the major U2-dependent spliceosome. The record is from Ensembl. NCBI's taxonomy places the organism in Eukaryota, Metazoa, Chordata, Mammalia, Primates, Cercopithecidae.